GCUAAGUGAGGAGCAUACUAUAAUGGGAUGGCACUAGAAGCUUUCUUGGGGUCCAUAGUGACUUAUUUUGCAGUUACAAGCACUACAAACACUGGGAUAAUGUGAAAUGUAGCGAAUGUAUGCAUAGAUGCGACCGCACUGGCUGGCUUGUAAACACUGGCACUGAGGCCACAUGUGGGACGCGUCCUGGACAAAUCACAUAAGCUGGCUUGAUGAUGACGAGUGACAUUCCACAUGACAUUGCUGUCAAGUCUACUUUGGACGUGAUAUGAUACAGAUCCCAAGAUUUAUGACAGCCUCUACUAGGUUCCUUGGACAUCUAUUUUCAUAAAAAAAAAAGCCAUACCAUAGGGCGGGGAUAGAACCCAUGGUAUGGUUUGUUUGCAAUUGUGUCAUUACGAUUUCGUGAGUCAUGUUACUAUUUUCAUCUUGCCUGUAGGACAGCAUCCACCUUUGCUGUCAACUACCAGUGCCAAAGGAUCACUGGUACUGAUAAUAAAGGAGAGGUCUUCAGGUGCAGUAUGAUCACUCACUAAAUUUAAAUCCAGUAAUCAGCAUUUUUUUAAAUUUUGAAUGUGGGUUAGGCCAAGUUAAGAAUCAGGUUUAGAAAAAGGUUUAAGUUUAUUAUUCCAGUGCCUGAAUCUAGCCUGUUGAGAAGCUGUGUCAGGCCUAGAGAUGAAUACUGUGUUGAUCUUAGUCUACUGUUGCCAAGACAGGUUCAGAGACAUCAAACAACAGUUCCUUGAUAAUGUGAGAAAUCAUGAAAGUGCUUGGAAAUUCUCUAGUUUCUUCACAGUGGUUAUUUUGUUUACCAUAUAUAAUUAUGUAUAAAAAUCCAUCACAAGUUAAACCUGGUAGGUAAUAGUACAUUUAGAGUAGUGAAUAUAUGGUCAUUCUUGAUUAAAACAGUAGCUCAGUUGAUAGCACCCUUAACUCACAGAUUGAGGAUCUGGGUUUCAAUCUCAGCAAAGGUGGAGAUGUUGGGUAUGUUUCCUCUCCUUACACCUGAAGGCAAAGAGAAGAUGUGGUAAUAUUGUCAAGGUAUUAAUUCUGGGAUUGUGUAUAUAAACAUUGAUUUGAGCAUGUGUAUUAUAGCCAGGUAAAGGACCUCGUGUCUCCAGUGUCUGGGAUUGUUGGUUUGAGCCUCAAUAGGUUUAAAAAAAUAUAUUUGUCAUGUCUGCUCACCUCUUUCAAGACAGAGAUAACGUGAAUGGUGAAAGCAUCACUUUUUUGGGUCAGCCUACCUCGGUGGGAAACAGCCAGUGUGUUUAAAAAAAUGUGAAAAUAGGUCUGGGGGAGGAGAUAAGUAGGGUGAUUGUUUUUCUUUCAGUGAAAAUCACUGACACUUGUCUGUCAUGUGAUGACCCUCUUCAGUAUCACUGGUUGAUCUACUAUAGGGGUGCAGCAAGAAGCAACUGCUACCUUGGGAUGUUGUAGAUACAGCAGCUGAUGUCCCUAUGACUUGCCGCUACUAUUUUGUUUCCUCACUGUUUUGCUUUGCAGUACUUUCACAUAACUCUGAUCUACUGUAUGUUUUGCAUGCUUUUUAAGAUAAUGGAUAAUGAUGUAAUGUUAACAAAGUGAUAAAUAAAUAAUUUAGUGAACUCUUUAUUGAUACAUUUUACUCUUGAGUUGGCUUUUAUCAAGUACAUAGCUCAACGACAACAGUUACAGCUUUUAUGGGGUAUCCGAUGCAGGUAGCCCAUGCAAGGUUUCCUUUACUCCAUGAUGAGGUGUGCUACAUAGUUGCCAAUGUGUUAGUUUGAUUUUAGAUGACACCAAACACCUACAUAUAAUUUCUUUGUUUUCUUGAAACAUUAGCCUGUUUGCAACCACCCAGGGAAGUACUACCGUCCUGCCAGAUGACUGUGAAACAAAAACCUGUAACUGUUUUGCAUGAUGGUAGGAUUGCUGGUUUCUUUUUCUGUCUCAUAAACACGCUAAGAUAACAGGGAUAUCUUGCUACUCCUACUU
Cherax quadricarinatus is the source of this 1974-nucleotide non-coding RNA. Lineage: Eukaryota; Metazoa; Arthropoda; Malacostraca; Decapoda; Parastacidae. The record is from RefSeq and is a predicted model, not a curated record.